RNAcentral lists this ribosomal RNA (684 nucleotides) under Triticum aestivum (bread wheat). RNAcentral describes it as "partial small subunit ribosomal RNA". Lineage: Eukaryota; Viridiplantae; Streptophyta; Magnoliopsida; Poales; Poaceae. The record is from RNAcentral.
AUGGCGUAUGUGGUGGCGACCGGACCCGGGCUGGAGUUUCUAUCAGAUCCGGUUGAUAGGUUUCCCGUCCCCCCGCUCGGCGGCGCCGAUUUGCCUCCUAAUUCUGUGGAUGUUCCGGAUCUGCUUGAACAAGCAGGCGGAUCCAGUAUUGGUGGGGUUGGAGAGCACCUACCAAUGGUGCAACUCGAUUUCAAUGGCGUUUGCCCGAGCAUGAGCGUGUCGGCGAUAGAGUCACAAAAGUCGACAGGGGAACCUGACCCUGAAGCUCCCGGCUGGACGAAGAGGGUCCGUGUUGGCCGGGCUCCAACAGAACGCCCGCCAUGUCCUGGAAGAGUUUGUGCUCUUGAGAAAACAAUCAGAGGAUAUGCUGAGAAGAAAACUGAUAUUGUGGUUGUGCCCGAGGUUGGAGACAGUUUUGAUUCGCUGGGAGAGGCAUACGACUUCUAUAAUCUUUAUUCCUGGGAAAUAGGAUUCAGCAUAAGAUAUGGCAAGAGCAGGUUAAAUGUAGAAAGAACAAAGUGCAUGCAGGAAAUAGUCUGCGGCUGUUCGGGCAAGCCAAAAAAGUCUAAUACUCGGUCAUGCCGGUGUGAAUGUCCAGCAAUGAUCAGAUUACUGAGAAGCAACGACAAUGGCUGGUACAUUAGUGAGCACAGACCAUCUCACAACCACUCACUUGUAGAUUAG